CCUACGGGUGGCUGCAGUGAGGGAUAUUGGUCAAUGGACGAAAGUCUGAACCAGCGAAGUAGCGUGAAGGAUGACUGCCCUCUGGAUUGUAAGCUUCUUUUGUAGGGGAGUAAGACGUGACGCGUGUGCCUUUUUACAUCUCCUUUAUGAAUAAGGAUGGGCUAACUCCGUGCCAGCAGCCGCGGUAAUCCGGGGGAUCCGAGCGUUAUCCGGAUUUAUUGGGGUAAAGGGGUGCGUAGGCGGAAUAGCAAGUCAGCGGUAAAAAUUCGGGGCCAAACCCCGGCGUGCCGUUGAAACUGAUGUUCUUGAGUGGGCGAGAGGUAUGCGGAAUGCGUGGUGUAGCGGUGAAAUGCAUAGAUAUUACGCAGAACUCCGAUUGCGAAGGCAGCAUACCGGAGUCUAACUGACGCUGAAGCACGAAAGCGUGGGUAUCGAACAGGAUUAGAUACCCCUGUAGUC
Molecule: ribosomal RNA, 459 nt
Filed under: uncultured bacterium
Lineage: Bacteria
Description: partial 16S ribosomal RNA
Rfam family: Bacterial small subunit ribosomal RNA
Source: RNAcentral